Molecule: ribosomal RNA, 1289 nt
Rfam family: Bacterial large subunit ribosomal RNA
UAAGGUUAAGUUAAUAAGGGCGCACGGUGGAUGCCUUGGCACUAGAAGCCGAUGAAGGACGUGACUAACGACGAAAUGCUUUGGGGAGUUGUAAGUAAACAUUGAUCCAGAGAUGUCCGAAUGGGGGAACCCGGCAUGUAAUGCAUGUCACUCAUUACUGUUAAGGUAAUGUAGAGGAAGACGCAGUGAACUGAAACAUCUAAGUAGCUGCAGGAAGAGAAAGCAAACGCGAUUGCCUUAGUAGCGGCGAGCGAAAAGGUAAGAGGGCAAACCGAUGUGUUUACACAUCGGGGUUGUAGGACUGCGUUGUGGGACGACAAGAUUAUAGAAGAAUUACCUGGGAAGGUAAGCCAAAGAGAGUAAUAGCCUCGUAUUCGAAAUAGUCUUUAACCCUAGCAGUAUCCUGAGUACGGCGAGACACGAGAAAUCUCGUCGGAAUCUGGGAGGACCAUCUCCUAACCCUAAAUACUCUCUAGUGACCGAUAGUGAACCAGUACCGUGAGGGAAAGGUGAAAAGCACCCCGGGAGGGGAGUGAAAUAGAACCUGAAACCGUGUGCCUACAACAAGUUCGAGCCCGUUAAUGGGUGAGAGCGUGCCUUUUGUAGAAUGAACCGGCGAGUUACGAUAUGAUGCGAGGUUAAGUUGAAGAGACGGAGCCGUAGGGAAACCGAGUCUUAAUAGGGCGCAUUAGUAUCAUGUCGUAGACCCGAAACCAUGUGACCUACCCAUGAGCAGGGUGAAGGUGAGGUAAAACUCACUGGAGGCCCGAACCAGGGCACGUUGAAAAGUGCUUGGAUGACUUGUGGGUAGCGGAGAAAUUCCAAACGAACUUGGAGAUAGCUGGUUCUCUCCGAAAUAGCUUUAGGGCUAGCGUCGAUGUUAAGUCUCUUGGAGGUAGAGCACUGUUUGAUUGAGGGGUCCAUCCCGGAUUACCAAUAUCAGAUAAACUCCGAAUGCCAACGAGAUAUAAUCGGCAGUCAGACUGCGAGUGCUAAGAUCCGUAGUCGAAAGGGAAACAGCCCAGACCACCAGCUAAGGUCCCAAAAUAUAUGUUAAGUGGAAAAGGAUGUGGGGUUGCACAGACAACUAGGAUGUUAGCUUAGAAGCAGCUAUUCAUUCAAAGAGUGCGUAAUAGCUCACUAGUCGAGUGACCCUGCGCCGAAAAUGUACCGGGGCUAAAACAUAUUACCGAAGCUGUGGAUACCUUUUAGGUAUGGUAGGAGAGCGUUCUAUGUGUGAUGAAGGUGUACCGUGAGGAGCGCUGGAACGCAUAGAAGUGAGAAUGCCG